GGAGGCGUCGCAUAGUGGCCUAGUGCGCCCGCCUGCUAAGCGGGUUGAGGAUAAAACCUCUCGCGGGUUCAAAUCCCGCCGCCUCCGCCG
RNAcentral lists this transfer RNA (90 nucleotides) under Angustibacter sp. Root456. RNAcentral's name for it is "tRNA-Ser". It matches the Rfam family "tRNA". From Rfam's summary of the family: Transfer RNA (tRNA) molecules are approximately 80 nucleotides in length. Their secondary structure includes four short double-helical elements and three loops (D, anti-codon, and T loops). Further hydrogen bonds mediate the characteristic L-shaped molecular structure. tRNAs have two regions of fundamental functional importance: the anti-codon, which is responsible for specific mRNA codon recognition, and the 3' end, to which the tRNAs corresponding amino acid is attached (by aminoacyl-tRNA synthetases). tRNAs cope with the degeneracy of the genetic code in two manners: having more than one tRNA (with a specific anti-codon) for a particular amino acid; and 'wobble' base-pairing, i.e. permitting non-standard base-pairing at the 3rd anti-codon position. The record is from RNAcentral. Lineage: Bacteria; Bacillati; Actinomycetota; Actinomycetes; Kineosporiales; Kineosporiaceae.